Molecule: ribosomal RNA, 349 nt
Filed under: bacterium
Lineage: Bacteria
Description: bacterial SSU rRNA
Rfam family: Bacterial small subunit ribosomal RNA
Source: RNAcentral
GAUGAAUGCUAGCGGUGCGUUUAAUACAUGCAAGUCGAACGCGAUCUUCGGAUCGAGUGGCGAACGAGCGAGUAACACGUAAGAAUCUGCCCCGUACUCAGGGAUAACUCGGCGAAAGUCGGGCUAAUACCGGAUGGUCUCCUUUGGGAGUAAAGAUUUAUCGGUACGGGAGGAGCUUGCGGCCUAUCAGCUUGUUGGUAAGGUAAAGGCUUACCAAGGCAAUGACGGGUAGCUGGUGUGAGAGCAUGACCAGCCGCGAUGGGACUGAGACACGGCCCAUACUCCUACGGGAGGCAGCAGUAGAGAAUCUUCCGCAAUGGGCGAAAGCCUGACGGAGCGACACCGCGUG